This 379-nucleotide unclassified non-coding RNA is filed under the name uncultured bacterium. RNAcentral's name for it is "contains 16S-23S intergenic spacer region". The record is from RNAcentral.
UCCGGUUUGUCACCGGCAGUCUGGCGUGAGUCCUCAACUUAAUGUUAGCAACACACCACGGGGGUUGCGCUCGUUGCGGGACUUAACCCAACAUCUCACGACACGAGCUGACGACAGCCAUGCAGCACCUGUGCAGGAGUCCCGAAGGAGGCCCGUGGUUUCUCACGGGUUUAACCAGCAUGUCAAGCCCAGGUAAGGUUCUUCGCGUUGCAUCGAAUUAAGCCACAUGCUCCGCCGCUUGUGCGGGUCCCCGUCAAUUCCUUUGAGUUUUAGCCUUGCGGCCGUACUCCCCAGGCGGGGCGCUUAAUGCGUUAGCUGCGGCACGGAGGACGUGGAAAGUCCCCCACACCUAGCGCCCAACGUUUACGGCGUGGACUAC